AGAAAUAUGUCUGACAAAAGAGUUACUUUGAUAGAGUAAAACAUAGGGGACGCAACCCCUUAUUUCUA
RNAcentral lists this transfer RNA (68 nucleotides) under Diphylla ecaudata (Hairy-legged vampire bat). Its description in RNAcentral is "tRNA-Ile". Lineage: Eukaryota; Metazoa; Chordata; Mammalia; Chiroptera; Phyllostomidae. The record is from RNAcentral.